UACGUAGGGGCCGAGUGUUGUCCGGAGUUAUUGGGCGUAAAGCGCGCGCAGGCGGCCUCGCGCGCCCGACGUGAAAGCCCCCGGCUUAACCGGGGAGGGUCGUUGGGGACGGCGGGGCUUGAGGGCGGGAGAGGUCGGUGGAAUUCCCGGUGUAGUGGUGAAAUGCGUAGAGAUCGGGAGGAACACCUGUGGCGAAGGCGGCCGACUGGGCCGACCCUGACGCUGAGGCGCGAAGGCGUGGGGAGCGAACGGG
This 253-nucleotide ribosomal RNA is filed under the name uncultured bacterium. Its description in RNAcentral is "partial 16S ribosomal RNA". It matches the Rfam family "Bacterial small subunit ribosomal RNA", at positions 524 to 776 of the family's 1533-position model. The record is from RNAcentral.